This 216-nucleotide ribosomal RNA is filed under the name Glomeromycotina sp. RNAcentral's name for it is "partial small subunit ribosomal RNA". The stretch from base 40 to 216 matches the Rfam family "Eukaryotic small subunit ribosomal RNA", at positions 686 to 864 of the family's 1831-position model. The record is from RNAcentral. Lineage: Eukaryota; Fungi; Glomeromycota.
GGGUCAGUAGGUUGGUCGUGCCACCGGUACGUACUGGUCUCACUGAUUCCUCCUUCCUGAAGAACCGUUAUGCCAUUAAUUUGGUGUUGCGGGGAAACAGGACUGUUACUUUGAAAAAAUUAGAGUGUUUAAAGCAAGCUAACGCUUGAAUACAUUAGCAUGGAAUAAUGAAAUAGGACGAUCGAUCCUAUUUUGUUGGUUUCUAGGAUUGACAUA